This 497-nucleotide ribosomal RNA is filed under the name uncultured bacterium. RNAcentral's name for it is "partial 16S ribosomal RNA". It matches the Rfam family "Bacterial small subunit ribosomal RNA", at positions 28 to 507 of the family's 1533-position model. The record is from RNAcentral.
GAUGAACGCUGGCGGCGUGCCUAAUACAUGCAAGUCGAGCGAACAGACGAGGAGCUUGCUCCUCUGACGUUAGCGGCGGACGGGUGAGUAACACGUGGAUAACCUACCUAUAAGACUGGGAUAACUUCGGGAAACCGGAGCUAAUACCGGAUAAUAUAUUGAACCGCAUGGUUCAAUAGUGAAUGACGGUUUUGCUGUCACUUAUAGAUGGAUCCGCGCCGGAUUAGCUAGUUGGUAAGGUAACGGCUUACCAAGGCAACGAUGCGUAGCCGACCUGAGAGGGUGAUCGGCCACACUGGAACUGAGACACGGUCCAGACUCCUACGGGAGGCAGCAGUAGGGAAUCUUCCGCAAUGGGCGAAAGCUUGACGGAGCAACGCCGCGUGAGUGAUGAAGGUCUUCGGAUCGUAAAACUCUGUUAUUAGGGAAGAACAAAUGUGUAAGUAACUAUGCACGUCUUGACGGUACCUAAUCAGAAAGCCACGGCUAACUACGUG